Molecule: ribosomal RNA, 846 nt
Filed under: uncultured bacterium
Lineage: Bacteria
Description: bacterial SSU rRNA
Rfam family: Bacterial small subunit ribosomal RNA
Source: RNAcentral
AGUGGCGAACGGGUGAGUAAUACAUCGGAAUGUACCCAGUCAUGGGGGAUAACGCUUCGAAAGGAGUGCUAAUACCGCAUACGCCCUGAGGGGGAAAGUGGGGGACGCGCAAGCGCCUCACGUGAUUGGAGCAGCCGAUGGCUGAUUAGCUAGUUGGUAGGGUAAAGGCCUACCAAGGCAACGAUCAGUAGCGGGUCUUAGAGGACGAUCCGCCACACUGGAACUGAGACACGGUCCAGACUCCUACGGGAGGCAGCAGUGGGGAAUCUUGGACAAUGGGCGAAAGCCUGAUCCAGCAAUGCCGCGUGCGUGAAGAAGGCCUUCGGGUUGUAAAGCGCUUUUGUCGGGGAGGAAAUCCUAACGGUUAAUACCUGUUGGGGAUGACAGUACCCGAAGAAUAAGCACCGGCUAACUACGUGCCAGCAGCCGCGGUAAUACGUAGGGUGCAAGCGUUAAUCGGAAUUACUGGGCGUAAAGCGUCCGCAGGUGGCUUGAUAAGAUAGACGUGAAAUCCCUGGGCUCAACCUAGGAAUUGCGUAUAUGACUGUCUCGCUAGAGUAUGGGAGAGGGGGGUGGAAUUCCGCGUGUAGCAGUGAAAUGCGUAGAGAUGCGGAGGAACACCGAUGGCGAAGGCAACCCCCUGGCCUAAUACUGACACUCAUGGACGAAAGCGUGGGGAGCAAACAGGAUUAGAUACCCUGGUAGUCCACGCCCUAAACGAUGUCUACUAGUUGUUGGGCUUUUCGGAGCUUAGUAACGCAGCUAACGCGUGAAGUAGACCGCCUGGGGAGUACGGUCGCAGACUAAACUCAAAGGAUGACGGGGCCGCACAGCGUGAUGAUGUGG